GGAUGUGAGCGCAAUCUGGCUGCGACAUCUCUCACCCCAUUGACCGCCAGGGUUGAUUGGGCUGAUCUGGCUGGCUAGGAGGGUGUCCCCUUCCUCCCUCAAAGCUCCAUGUGCGUCCCUCCCAAAGCUACACUGUUGGUCGAAGAGGAUGACCUUUCCCGACAGAGGAGGACUGGUCUUCCGUCAAGGGUAUACGAGUAGCUGCACUCCCCUGCUCGAACCUCCAAACAAGCUCUCAAGGAGUGGAGAGUCCACAUUCUCUAACUUGAAAAAUAACCUAAGCUCAAUCAAUAUUCCUGGGCGAAAAGAUUA
RNAcentral lists this small nuclear RNA (312 nucleotides) under Nannospalax galili (Upper Galilee mountains blind mole rat). Its description in RNAcentral is "7SK RNA (ENSNGAG00000004109.1)". It matches the Rfam family "7SK RNA". Rfam says of the family: 7SK was discovered as an abundant small nuclear RNA in the mid-70s but a possible function has only recently been suggested. Two independent studies have found that 7SK RNA binds the CDK9/cyclin T complex (known as elongation factor P-TEFb). The record is from Rfam by way of RNAcentral. Lineage: Eukaryota; Metazoa; Chordata; Mammalia; Rodentia; Spalacidae.